GACGAACGCUGGCGGCGUGCUUAACACAUGCAAGUCGAACGGAAAGGCCCUGCUUUUGUGGGGUGCUCGAGUGGCGAACGGGUGAGUAACACGUGAGUAACCUGCCCUUGACUUUGGGAUAACUUCAGGAAACUGGGGCUAAUACCGGAUAGGAGCUCCUGCUGCAUGGUGGGGGUUGGAAAGUUUCGGCGGUUGGGGAUGGACUCGCGGCUUAUCAGCUUGUUGGUGGGGUAGUGGCUUACCAAGGCUUUGACGGGUAGCCGGCCUGAGAGGGUGACCGGCAAAGUGGGGCAUAGGAUACGGCCCAGACUCCUAGGGGGGGGAGAAGGGGGGAAUAUUGCACAAGGGGCGGAAGCCUGAUGCAGCAACGCCGGGGGGGGGAGGACGGCCUUGGGGUUGUAAACCGCUUUCGCCUGGGACGAAGCGUGAGUGAGGGUAAUGGGUAAAGAAGCACCGGCUAACUACGU
RNAcentral lists this ribosomal RNA (467 nucleotides) under uncultured bacterium. RNAcentral's name for it is "partial 16S ribosomal RNA". It matches the Rfam family "Bacterial small subunit ribosomal RNA", at positions 28 to 506 of the family's 1533-position model. The record is from RNAcentral.